CAUGGCUCAGAUUGAACGCUGGCGGCAGGCCUAACACAUGCAAGUCGAGCGGAUGAAGGGAGCUUGCUCCUGGAUUCAGCGGCGGACGGGUGAGUAAUGCCUAGGAAUCUGCCUGGUAGUGGGGGAUAACGUCCGGAAACGGGCGCUAAUACCGCAUACGUCCUGAGGGAGAAAGUGGGGGAUCUUCGGACCUCACGCUAUCAGAUGAGCCUAGGUCGGAUUAGCUAGUUGGUGGGGUAAAGGCCUACCAAGGCGACGAUCCGUAACUGGUCUGAGAGGAUGAUCAGUCACACUGGAACUGAGACACGGUCCAGACUCCUACGGGAGGCAGCAGUGGGGAAUAUUGGACAAUGGGCGAAAGCCUGAUCCAGCCAUGCCGCGUGUGUGAAGAAGGUCUUCGGAUUGUAAAGCACUUUAAGUUGGGAGGAAGGGCAGUAAGUUAAUACCUUGCUGUUUUGACGUUACCAACAGAAUAAGCACCGGCUAACUUCGUGCCAGCAGCCGCGGUAAUACGAAGGGUGCAAGCGUUAAUCGGAAUUACUGGGCGUAAAGCGCACGCAGGCGGUUUGUUAAGUC
Molecule: ribosomal RNA, 576 nt
Filed under: Pseudomonas aeruginosa
Lineage: Bacteria; Pseudomonadati; Pseudomonadota; Gammaproteobacteria; Pseudomonadales; Pseudomonadaceae
Description: bacterial SSU rRNA
Rfam family: Bacterial small subunit ribosomal RNA
Source: RNAcentral